CUACGGGAGGCUGCAGUGGGGAAUAUUGCACAAUGGAGGAAACUCUGAUGCAGCAACGCCGCGUGGAGGAUGACACUUUUCGGAGCGUAAACUCCUUUUAUAUAGGAAGAAGAUGACGGUACUAUAUGAAUAAGCGCCGGCUAACUCCGUGCCAGCAGCCGCGGUAAUACGGAGGGCGCAAGCGUUACUCGGAAUCACUGGGCGUAAAGAGCGUGUCGGCGGAUUAAAAAGUCAGAAGUGAAGUCCUAUAGCUUAACUAUAGAACUGCUUCUGAAACUCUUAAUCUAGAAUAUGGGAGAGGUAGAUGGAAUUUCUGGUGUAGGGGUAAAAUCCGUAGAGAUCAGAAGGAAUACCGAUUGCGAAGGCGAUCUACUAGAACAUUAUUGACGCUGAGACGCGAAAGCGUGGGGAGCAAACAGGAUUAGAUACCCCCGUAGUC
Molecule: ribosomal RNA, 439 nt
Filed under: uncultured bacterium
Lineage: Bacteria
Description: partial 16S ribosomal RNA
Rfam family: Bacterial small subunit ribosomal RNA
Source: RNAcentral